GCCCCUCCCCCGUCACGGGACUCAUAGCCCGGCCUCUUUGUUUAAUUGGAGAUUUCAUUAAUUGAUUCACAAUUUCUUUGUUGUAUCCAGAUGCGGAUAAUUGAUCGCAAUUGCGAAAUUCCUCAUGAAGGACCUUUCUGUGAUCUGAUGUAGAGUGACCCGGAAGAGAUAGAGACAUGGGGUGUUAGUCCCCGUGGAGCAGGUUGGCUUUUUGGCUCACGGGUGACAACAGAGUUCAACCAUGUUAAGAAUCUUGAGUUAGUUUGCCGGGCUCAUCAACUAGUCCAGGAAGGCCUAAAAUACAUAUUCCAAGACAAGGGUCUUGUAACUGUGUGGUCUGCACCUAAUUAUUGUUACAGAUGUGGCAACGUUGCUUCUAUACUGAGCUUCGGCGAAAAUAUGGUAGGUCAUUCGGUAUUUCUAUGUCUUAUGGACUUCAUCUUGUCUAGUUCAGUUACUAUCUUCAACCUGCAAUAAUCUGCUAUAGAUAUUUCAUUUGCCUUCAAAACCUCAAAGAAAUUGUUCCGCUCAUGCUUUGAAUCCUUUGAUAGGUGUCAGUGGAAACUUUUACGGCUAAUAUCAGUGAGAUGUACAGUAGCAAUGCGAGGGCCUAGGACCUCAGUCCCAUAUUUUCUUUGACCUCUUUUGUACAUUGUGUUUUGUGGUUUCUAUUGUUCAGGGGCUAAAGAUCAAUCCAAUAGGUGUGUUCAUUGUUGUAGCUUCAGCUCAUAGUGCAGUCUGAUUAUCUGAUGCAAUUGAUGUUACAGGUUAAUUUAACCCGCUGUAAGAUAGAUUAUUGCGUGUGUAGCUGCCAUUGCUACUUGUUCUUUUUUCCCUUCAUCACCUAUCUGCCCCAAAGUUAAGUUCAAUCUGCUGGAAGCCUGGAACGUGUCAACACAUGGAGGAAGAGGAAGGGGAACCGAAAGAAUACUAGAAGCUGUCAACUAGCAUUGCCUUGUGCAGAUCAGAGUCUCCAAGGCAGGGCCAUUGUAUGAUUGUAUCUUUCUCAUCAUUCAACUCAGGAACCUUAAUUUAAACCAUUUUAAACCUAACUCUGUUGAUGCAGUUAAAUUUUGCGAUGAAUGGCGAACAUUCUGAGUUCUUUGA
Long non-coding RNA from Lolium rigidum, 1107 nucleotides. RefSeq lists it as uncharacterized. Lineage: Eukaryota; Viridiplantae; Streptophyta; Magnoliopsida; Poales; Poaceae. The transcript has 3 exons. The record is from RefSeq and is a predicted model, not a curated record.